UUCAACUUGUAAUGCCACGUGUGUGAGAGCCAAAUUCACAAGCGCUGUCAUUGCACCUUUUAAGGCAACUUGAAACCUUGAAAAUAUCGACAACAAGGACCACGUGGCAUUCAUUUCGAUAAGUUCGAGAACUUGAGUUUGCUAUAUUAACCCUAGAAAUUAGAAGUUGAAACAUACUUUGUGUUCUUUGCAGUUUUCAUACUCUUCCCCUUCCCCAAACUUCAAAAGAUGAGUACUUUUACCUAUAGUUUUGCAAAUACUUGCUUCUUUUUCAAGUUUUCUAGUAUCUCUUUCUUUAAUUUUCUCUCGGUUCAUCAUGACUAGAGAUUAACUAGACUCAUUUUCAUAUGCUUUUUCUUUAUAUUAGAUCAUUUUUUCCAUUGAUCUCUAUUUGAUUUCUUUUCAAAUUUCCUUGCAGGUGUUUUGUUGGUGCAUCUUGUAUAAGCUAUUGAUCUACACUGUCUUCAAUUCAAUUGUUGGAUGAUCUGUAUUUAUUAUCUCUUUUUAUGUCUUUUCAAAAGAUUUAGAUAACAAAAUAAUCUAUCAAAAGACUAAUGAUUAAUAAACAGGCAUAUUUGCAACUUUGCUUAUCAUUUUACCAGAUUGAUUCUUCUUGCAGUUUCCAAACUAAUAUUCAAUUCAUUUGAAAUUUUGCUUUCUUGUUAUUGUUUGACCAUCAGUCCAAUUAUGUGAGCACAGAUCUGUUUGUUUGGUUACUCUUCAAUCAUUCAUAACCUAACAAGCUUUUCCUUUUUCUUAUUACAGCUCUCAUUCAAUUGCUUUUCAUAUUAUUUUUCCAUCUGAAUUUUGCCCAUUUUGCAAAUGAGUUGGCCUUAAUUUUAUCAAAUCAGUUACAUCAUAUGUAUGUGAAGAAUUUUAACUAGAAUGUUAUAUUUCUUAAUCAAUUUAAGUACAUGAUCUAUGAUAUCAAGAAACUCACCCCAUGGAUUUGGUUCAUCUAGAGAGAAGUUCAUUUGUAUCAAGCUAGUUCUUAUGAUAAAUUCUGAUAAACAUUAAGCAACAAAAAAAAAAUAAAAAGCUUCUUUGUUGGGCAACAAUACCAUUAGUUUUCUAUAUGAAUAAACAUGUGAAUAAACAUGUGAAUGUCAUUUAGACAUAUACAUUGACAAGCUUUUGAUUAAAUUUCAUAAUAUCGUUAGACUAAGGAUUUCCCUCCUAUUUUUUGUGACGUUUAGUUCAUGAAAAUUUGCGAUGUCCAGCUUGAAGCAUUCAACCAUACACAAAGUAUUUUGUCAAUUCUUAGCCCUUUAUAGCAUGACUGCAUUUUUGUAUCAGUGUUAAAACCAGGUAAAUUCUCCAGGUUAUAUGAUCAAACAUAUAAGAAGACUUCAGUGAGUAAUUUAGCCAGUGAAUGUACUUUAGUUCUUCCAGUAAGUUCCUGAUCUUAGAUGUUCAACCAUAGCAGGACUUUUCGGUAAGUUCUUCCACUAUAUUUAUCUUAACUAAUUUAGAUCUUCAAAGCGUUCAGGAUACCUCACUUCUAAUGAUCUCAGAGCAACACAGGAUCGUCACAUAAGUUAUGAGGAGUUUCCUACGAUGAUGAAGGCUGGUACGGACCGGAGAAAGGCAUCCCGGCAAAAUUCACAGGAAAGAUUCAACAGUUUGAGUUUGAAGUUGAUAAGGGAUGGAUCAUUACAGUUAGCUGGCUAAGGAUCAAAGUUAUCCGAAAGGCAGAGUAAUCUACUGGGGAAAACAAGAAAGAAAAUAUUUAAUUUUGUUUCCGUGAAAUUAUUUUUAUCUUGUUUCAAUUUAUUCCCAUGUCUAGUUAGGAUUAGGGUGGCUUGGUCUCAAGUUUCUUAAGUAUUUAAAGUGUUUAGAAUUUAUAUGAUUAUGUAGUUUCAAGGAAAGAAAAAGGAACUCUUUGAAGAGAGAUGGAAAGAUUGUUAUUAUGAACCACUAUUGGUGAUUGUACAUUUUGAAUUAGGCGUACCAGCCCUUUUUUAUUAAAGGAUUAUUAGUCUAA
Long non-coding RNA from Mangifera indica (mango), 1984 nucleotides. RefSeq lists it as uncharacterized. The transcript has 2 exons. The record is from RefSeq and is a predicted model, not a curated record. NCBI's taxonomy places the organism in Eukaryota, Viridiplantae, Streptophyta, Magnoliopsida, Sapindales, Anacardiaceae.